GAUGAAGAACGUAGCAAAAUGCGAUACUUGGUGUGAAUUGCAGAAUCCCGUGAACCAUCGAGUCUUUGAACGCAAGUUGCGCCUCAAGCCAUUAGGUUGAGGGCACGUCUGCCUGGGCGUCACAUAUCGUUGCCUGAUGCCAGUUUCCUCGUGAUGGGUGACUGUGCAGGGCGAAUGAUGGCUUCCCGUGAGCAUUGUUGCCUCAUGGUUGGUUGAAAAUUGAGUCCUUGGUAGGGAGCGCCGUGAUAGAUGGUGGUUGAGUGACGAACGAGACCCAAUCAUGUGAGACCCCUACCGAAUUUGGCCUUCAUGACCCACAUGCGUCUUUGGAACGCUCAUGACGAGACCUCAGGUCAGGCGGUGCUACCCGCUGAGUUUAAGCAUAUCAAUAAGCGGAGGA
Molecule: unclassified non-coding RNA, 400 nt
Filed under: soil metagenome
Description: partial contains 5.8S ribosomal RNA, internal transcribed spacer 2, and large subunit ribosomal RNA
Rfam family: 5.8S ribosomal RNA (bases 1-122)
Source: RNAcentral